GUGCUCACCUCGGCGGCACAUAUAUUAAAAUUGGAGCGAUACAGAGAAGAUUAGCAUGGCCUCUGUGCAAGGUUGACAUGCAAAUUCGUGAAACGUUCCAUGUUUUU
Molecule: small nuclear RNA, 107 nt
Filed under: Tupaia belangeri (northern tree shrew)
Lineage: Eukaryota; Metazoa; Chordata; Mammalia; Scandentia; Tupaiidae
Source: RNAcentral